GUGAACGCCCUCACGGGCUUAUACUAUUCCAAACCUCUGUGAACCGUGCCCUUCGGGGCUAUUUUACAAACAUGAUGUAAUGAACGUCAUAUAUCAUAACAAAACA
This 106-nucleotide unclassified non-coding RNA is filed under the name soil metagenome. Its description in RNAcentral is "partial internal transcribed spacer 1". The record is from RNAcentral.